AAUCUUCAGGGCGGGGUGUGAUUCCCCACCGGCGGUAAAGCCCGCGAGCCUUUUUGGUUGAUUCGGUGAAACUCCGAAGCCGACGGUUAUAGUCCGGAUGAAAGAGGAA
RNAcentral lists this non-coding RNA (109 nucleotides) under human gut metagenome. RNAcentral describes it as "FMN riboswitch (RFN element)". It matches the Rfam family "FMN riboswitch aptamer (RFN element)". From Rfam's summary of the family: The RFN element is a highly conserved domain that is found frequently in the 5'-untranslated regions of prokaryotic mRNAs that encode for flavin mononucleotide (FMN) biosynthesis and transport proteins. This element is a metabolite-dependent riboswitch that directly binds FMN in the absence of proteins. The record is from RNAcentral.